CGGGCGGCAGCAGUGGGGAAUUUUGGACAAUGGGCGAAAGCCUGAUCCAGCAAUGCCGCGUGUGGGAAGAAGGCCUUCGGGUUGUAAACCACUUUUGUACGGAACGAAACGGUUCGCCUUAAUACGGCGAGCUAAUGACGGUACCGUAAGAAUAAGCACCGGCUAACUACGUGCCAGCAGCCGCGGUAAUACGUAGGGUGCGAGCGUUAAUCGGAAUUACUGGGCGUAAAGCGUGCGCAGGCGGUGAUGUAAGACAGUUGUGAAAUCCCCGGGCUCAACCUGGGAAUUGCAUCUGUGACUGCAUCGCUAGAGUACGGUAGAGGGGGAUGGAAUUCCGCGUGUAGCAGUGAAAUGCGUAGAUAUGCGGAGGAACACCGAUGGCGAAGGCAAUCCCCUGGACCUGUACUGACGCUCAUGCACGAAAGCGUGGGGAGCAAACAGGAUUAGAUACCCCAGU
Molecule: ribosomal RNA, 457 nt
Filed under: uncultured Polaromonas sp.
Lineage: Bacteria; Pseudomonadati; Pseudomonadota; Betaproteobacteria; Burkholderiales; Comamonadaceae
Description: bacterial SSU rRNA
Rfam family: Bacterial small subunit ribosomal RNA
Source: RNAcentral